RNAcentral lists this small nuclear RNA (289 nucleotides) under Oryctolagus cuniculus (rabbit). RNAcentral describes it as "7SK RNA". It matches the Rfam family "7SK RNA". Rfam says of the family: 7SK was discovered as an abundant small nuclear RNA in the mid-70s but a possible function has only recently been suggested. Two independent studies have found that 7SK RNA binds the CDK9/cyclin T complex (known as elongation factor P-TEFb). Lineage: Eukaryota; Metazoa; Chordata; Mammalia; Lagomorpha; Leporidae. The record is from Rfam by way of RNAcentral.
ACGUGUGUGGGCAAUCUGGUUGUGACUUGGGUCACUUUGUGGACCUCCAGCUGAUCUGGCUGCAUAGUUGCCCCUUCCUCCUCACAGCUGCUUGUGUGUCCCUCCCCAAGCUCUGCGGAAGAGAUAGACCUUCCCCAGUGGAGGAGACAGGGCCAUUCUCUGCUCCAGAGCAGGGGGACAGCAACACCCCCUUGCCAGGCACUCUAAGCCAGCAGACAUGAAUGGUCAGCCUGCCUUUCAAAGAAGGAAAAACACAGAGACCAUAGCCUUACCUGUUGGGCAGUUUGGU